RNAcentral lists this ribosomal RNA (373 nucleotides) under uncultured bacterium. Its description in RNAcentral is "bacterial SSU rRNA". It matches the Rfam family "Bacterial small subunit ribosomal RNA", at positions 527 to 898 of the family's 1533-position model. The record is from RNAcentral.
GUAGGAGCCUAGCGUUAUCCGAAUUUACUGGGCGUAAAGCGCAUGCAGGCGGCUUGGUAAGUGGAUUGUGAAAUCUCCCGGCUCAACUGGGAGGGGACGGUCCCGACUGCCAGGCUGGAGGCAGGGAGAGGGAGGUGGAAUUCCCGGUGUAGUGGUGAAAUGCGUAGAGAUCGGGAGGAACACCUGUGGCGAAAGCGGCCUCCUGGCCCUGACCUGACGCUGAGAUGCGAAAGCUAGGGGAGCGAACGGGAUUAGAAACCCCGGUAGUCCUAGCCGUAAACGAUGUCGACUGGGCGGCGGUGGGGUAAAAGCCAUCGGUGCCGCAGCUAACGCGAUAAGUCGACCGCCUGGGGACUACGGCCGCAAGGUUAAA